RNA transcript from Populus nigra (black poplar), 6868 nucleotides. RefSeq lists it as uncharacterized. The transcript is spliced from 13 exons. NCBI's taxonomy places the organism in Eukaryota, Viridiplantae, Streptophyta, Magnoliopsida, Malpighiales, Salicaceae. The record is from RefSeq and is a predicted model, not a curated record.
CCAAUCCCUCCACUUAACACAUAACACAAACGACACACAAACACCAUCCCUUUCAUAUCCCUCCUCUCCCCUCCUCUCUUCCCAUCGCAUCUUCUUCUCUCUCUCAUGGUGAUCGCUGCAGCAGCGGCAGCAGCUAUUGCUUCUUCGCUUUCACUCGGUUCUUCCCAUUGUCAACUAUGCCAGGCAGAUGCCUUUUGCUGCUCAACAUCACACGGGGGCACAAAUAGCUGGAACAAGUCUCCUAUUGACAGUUGCAGACCUUGUGACCUUUCCAGCAUAAGGUACAGAAAUCCAUUUUUUGGAUCAACACAGUUCCAAUGGUCAUCUGUGGGCCGUAAUCUUUGCCUUCAGAAAGUUUCAGUUGCUGCAGAUUACUCCGAUUCGGUUCCUGAUUCAUCUAAUUACACAAGUCAUCGAGGUUAUCAUCCACUAGAAGAAGUGAAACUUAGCAAAAGGACUCGUGAAACUCAGCUCACCUCUGCUGAAAUAGCAAGGACAACUGUUGAGGCUAAUACUAGUGCUUUGCUGGUUUUUCCUGGAUCCGUACAUUGUGAACCACAUGGACAAAUUUCCUGGGCCGAAUUUCAGUAUAUCAUUGAUGACUAUGGAGACAUAUUCUUUGAGAUUUUUGACGAUAGCAAUAUCUUACAAGAUCGAGGAGCAAGCAACCCUGUGAAUGUUUUGAUUGGGAUGGAUAUUCCAAUGUACGAGAAUAAAAAGGUAGUCAAUGAAUACAAUAUUUUCAAUGUUGGCAGUGAAGAUGAUAUACCAUUUGAUGAGGAUUACUUUGAGGUAAUGGAUUCGGAAGUCUCUGAAGUUCCAGUUGAUUGGGGAAUGCCAGAUACUUCCAGCUUGGUUCAUCCUAUUUAUUUUGCCAAGUGCAUGACAAAGGCAAUCAAUAUGGAAUACUAUAGAAAAAUGGACCAUCCAUCAAAUGGUGUUUCUAUUGUGGGUUGUCUGAGACCAGCUUUUUCUGAUGAAGAAUUAUACUUAAGAACAUCAUUUCACUGUGAGGAUAGUGAUGGCUAUAAUUCAGACCGGAAAGACACAGAAAUUUUGAGCUUUAACUCCAAAAGUGAUGUAAGCAGCUCUGGUUCAACUCUCCAUUGCUUGGAGAUCAUGAGAAUAGAGCUAUUUUCAUUGUAUGGAUCUCAGUCUGCGGUUAGUUUACAAGAUUUUCAAGAAGCAGAGCCUGAUGUCCUUGCACACUCGACUCCAGCAAUUUUAGAGCACUUUAGUGAAAAGGGAAGUAGAUGCAAUAUUGCUCUUAAAGCUCUUUGCAAGAAGAAGGGUCUUCAUGUUGAGAGAGCUAAUUUGAUUGGGGUUGAUAGCCUUGGCAUGGAUGUUAGAAUUUUCUCUGGGUUGGAAGCACGAACUCAUCGGUUUCCCUUCAAAGUCCGGGCUACCUGUAAAACUGCUGCUCGAAAGCAGAUUCAUCAGCUGUUGUUCCCUAGGGCUCGCCGAAAAAAGUUUAAAACUCACGAAGAUGAGCUUGGGGACUCCUCAUAUUUCUAACCUUGACGAGGGAACAAGAGAUUUAUUUUUAUAAUAAAGUCCAGGCUUGGUGGUUCGCGUUUCGUCCGUUUGUUUUUUAAUCUGCUGGAGAUUUGUCAGCAAAAGCAUUCUUUAAGUUUUCAAGCUAGACGAGCAACUCAAUGGUGGGAACGAGGGAGUGGUGGCGAAAAUCUUUGGUUGUGCACUUACGAUGUUUAAGCUUAGCCACACAUGCUGGUGAGACUAGGAAGCAAAUCUAGAGAAAUUGGUAUGCUUCUCUUGGUUUUUUUUAGCCAUUUAAGUUCAAUAUCCUGUGCAGUUGCCCCACAAAAAUAGCUAAAAAGUUUUCUGACAUAAACCACUUGUCAAGUUGGUGAAACAAAUCCCUAAACAUUCUAAACAUUAAGAAAGGUUAAGAAUAUACUUUAGAUUAUGACUGAUGAUAUGAGUAAGGCAACAACGUGUAAUACAACGUAAAAAGUAAAGAAAAUAAGAACUGCAAUUAUGCAUAAAAAAUUACUUCCAAGCUGCAAAUUGGUGAUUAUUGAACCCCCCCUCCUUUUCUGCUAACCAUUACCCCCAACUUAGCUGACACCUAUAGUUUGUUGGAGCAGGAGUGAGACGUGCGCUCUUUCUAACCCCUGAAAGCAGAUCCUGCAUUACGAUUUUUAGCUCCUGAGACUUUUCCCAUGUGCUCGUUUUUCAAGCUUUUUCUGCAUCUAGUGCCUUAUUAUGAUUUGUUCCCCCACACAUCUUUUCCCACAUUCUUGCUCUCAAUGUCUUGCUCAUCUGCAAUGCUGGUGCUAGCAAGAUCAUGCUUACUACUAUCCCUGGUUUUUGAGCUCCCAGGGAUAGUUUUUUGACCGCGGUUUCCAGAACAAGCCUCCUCGUCGAAAUGUUUACUUCUUUCUGCAUCUUCAUCUUCAUCACCAGCAUGGUGUUGAUCCUCUUCCUUGUCACCCCUGCAUAAACAACAUAAGAGUUGGGCACAUGUGAUAUGGUUUGCUCACAGAAGAGAUAAAAUGACCUAUCAUCAUGUUACCAAAGGAUGAGAUGGAGACCACAUGACAAGAAUGGUGAUAUAUUCAUUUUUCAUUCCCGUACACCAGAGUGAAAUUUCAGAGAUAUCAGACAUUUUUCAACUGCAUGCCAGCAAGUCAUUUUCCAAACUGAGUUGUCCGUGAAAAAGUAGUGAUUUAGGAAGCAUAGGGCUUCCAUACUAACACACUUUUUAUCACAUUAUGUAAAGAAUAGCAGCAUUCAUAGAUAUAGACAGUGAACAGAGACCAUCCUGCAAUCAUAGAUUGUGACACUAUUAAACUUUCACGAAAACUAAUUCUUUUAAUUUAAACUUAUAUUUAAAAUAAAUUGGGUCCCAUCAUUACACAAUUUUUACGCAUCUACCAAACAUCCUUAACCUUUACCCUUCAAUUACUUUUUUAAACCCUUGACACUUGACCUCUGAAAAUUUAAACUCCAAUUUUUAACCAUGAACUAAACACAAGCUAAGAAAAUGCCAAAAAAAUAAAAAGAAAAAUAGAAAAGAAAAGAAAAGAAAGAAAAAACCUGGAAAAUCUAACCUCCAAUUCCAGUGAAUACACGUUAGCCUAUCCUCAAAGCAUGAGGAAUAUUGCAGAUAAGUGUCUUCAUAGAAAAGUAACUUACAAUGAUGGACCAGGGGAGCUAAAAUGAAUGGAGCAUCCUUAACAUGACAGAAUUGGGAAUAGCCUAACCACUCAAACACCAUCAAGGUCUGUUUCAUGUAGCCUUAACUACGCAAAGCUAGUGUACAAACCUAACAUGACUAAAUAUUACUGUUUUUUGAACCUUGUAUCAAAAGUCUGUCAGACCUACUUCAUCCAAAAUAUUUUCCAUAAUCUAACCUCUGUAACCCUAACAGGGUUGAGCUUUGUAAGGACAUACAGUUCAUUCAAACUAGAGCACUCAUUUGCUAGUUAGUGCUCCUGAUGAAGGAGCUUAGGUAAACAGCAAAGCCAGAGAUUUCUGUUUUUCUUACGAAUUUAUCACAUAUGAAAUGGAGAUAAAUAUUCAAAGCAAAAUCCAAAAAGUUGCAUACCCAGAAUAAACGAUCAACCCAACAGCAACAGCAGCAAAGGCCACAAAGUACAUCCAAUCAACCUGAUCAAUAUUCCCAUCAGUGAGAAAAUUCCAUGUGUGAACAUUUGAACUUGCAUAAUACUUGAAUUCUCACAUUCAUACAAUGUUAUUAGUUAACAAACCUUCUCAUGAUAAGCAAAGAUGCGAAUCACAACAGCCCACAUGUCUGAUGUCAGCAAAGACAAGUUGAGCAUCGUGGAUCCACUAAUCUGUAAAUAGUGGGAGUUAGAAUAUUUAGGUGAGCAUGCGCACGCACUAUUAUAAACCAUCCAUGAGGUCAGUCUAAAUAACUCUUGCCCUCUAGCAUUGAAUAAAACUCUGAUAAUCACACUGAAUUUCACAUUUGUCCAAAAGUUACCGUUGCAAGUAUUAAAAAGUUACAAUUAUGACAAAUUAUAAGAUGGUAACCUUACUGGGCUGGUGAAAAACAAGUAAAAAAAUAAUAAUACAAAUCCUCUGAAGUUAAGACAUUGGAUGAAGGUGAUGGCAGCUUGAUAGUCUAGAAUAAAAUUUUAUUGUCAAAAUCAGUUAAGUACAGGCUUGAAGCAAUAACUGAAGCACAACUGAUGCAUAUGGAUUAGCUCCUUUCAUGUUAGCACCAAACCAUCACAGAUAACUGAAGCACAACUGAUGCAUAUGGUUGGCUUGGCACCAUCUCACAAAACAUCAAAUUUGUGCUAAAAAUCGAUGGAUGAUAAAGUAACAAAUGAAAAGCACCAUUAAUUUAGAAAGUAAUUAAUGACUAAUAAAAGAGCGAAACCAAAAUUAACCAUUGGUAGUGUAUACGAGGGAUAAAAACAGAUUUCAAUAAAUAUAAUCGGUGUUUUAGAUGCUAAGAAGAUUUUAAUCUAGUGCAUGUAAGCUACAGAUUUUGAAAAAGAUUUUCAAUUCAAAGAGGUAGCUCGCAAUCAUUCAUCACCCUUCAAACUACAAUUUCAAGUUCUUGAAUUCAAAGGCAGCCCACAUUCUUACUAAGUUUUAGUUAGUUCUAUGGUAACUCAAAUCCAUACCUUAAGCAAGAUCGGGACUGAAGAGUAGAACAGAAACAUUGCCACUGAAAAUCCAAAAAACGGAAGAGCCUGAAACCAACAACAUAAAGUAAACAUGAAAAGUUAAACUCUAACCGAAUAAUCCUCAAGACUUCUAUAUGUAUUAAAUUUAAAGACAAAUCAAUUCUCUAACAAUGUCAGACCAAUUGAUAAUAACUGAAUAUUUAAAAUCCUACAUUCAUUUUCAUAUCUUUCUCUUGAAUGUUUUUCGUCUGAGCCAUUAUAUGUAUGUAUUUGAAUUGAUUUUGGUUAAGAAUCAUCUAACACCAGAAGCAAAUUACAAAGAUGACCCCUAUACAGAACCAUUAAACAUCAGAUGUGAAGCUACCAUUCUAUUGUGAUUGCUGAGUCAUGUGAACAGGAAUAAAAGGAAAAACAAGUGUAAGAUACAUAUGCUUUGGAAGAAGAGGAUGGACAAGAAACAUACUGCCCCAGCUGACCAGUGAAUGGAUUUAACUUCGUUGCGCUCCAGAAUACUUCUGUAGAUAUCACUAAGGGAUACAAUUGCCAAAAACAAUUAAACAAUUUACCAACAUUGAAUGGCACAAUCAAGUUAGCCAAGUGAUCAUGAGUUUUGGAUAUCAUGAAGUUUUAAAGUCGAUUGUAGACAAUUUACACAGAAUAAAUUAAAGUAACUCAUCAGUAGAAAGGUUGAUGUUCCUCAUAGCCAUCAACCUUAGCCAUUAAGUUAAGGAUACAUUUGAAUGGCACUGAUUAUGGCACCAAAAAAACCCAGAAGCGACAUGAGCUCAACUCUAUCAGCAUUUUUUACAAGAAACUCCUGCAUAACAGAAGGAAAUAAAUGAAGAUAAACCUUUUCUAUUUACUGUGACAAGUAUAACAAUUUAUAUCCUUAAUACCUGUAUUGCUUUAAGCCCCCAUUGUCUUGAAAUGAUGAAUAAAAACUAAGACUUUAAACUAUUUAAGAAAACAAUUACUUACAAUUCAUAAUAAGAAAACUUCUAACCGAUAUCUGGAAAAUCAACUUCAGACCUAAAUCACUCUCCAAAAAAAAUAAAACUUCAGACCAAAAUCUCAAAUGAAAAAAGCCAGGCACCAUGUUUCUCUGUGUUUUCCUUUUCCUUUUUGUUUUUGGUUGCCUUUUUUAUAUGAAAAAGUUAUGCAGCACAUAUUAAUAGGAGGGUGACAAAUUUUUAACCUUCCUCCAAGGCCAAACUGAAGACCUAAACUUAAAACAAAAGUUGGAUUAAGACUAUCAAUUUAUACACGCUAUAAUUAGCUAAACAAAAAGUCAGUAACACUUCUUUGAAGAAGUAAGAUCAUGAGAGAACAACUACCAAAUGGAAGCAGCAUGGAGGAUCAGAGAACAAGCACUGAUUUUCACCUAGACAAAAUUAUAGCACGCAAUUUGGCUUACCUCACUGACAUUACUGAUAGCAUACAGCGUUGCUCCAGCAAUAACAAGAGCAUCUCCUUUACGAGGGUUGCUCCCACCUACAAGAAAGAAGCUCACUUGUUAAGAGAUUAUCAUUCAAUUCUAUGAGACAAAACUGUAAUGGAAAUGGUUACGAAAUGUUAUACACAACAACAAUGCUACAGUUGCAUCUCAAAUAUGAGAGUUUAAGUACAUUCAGUAUCUCCAGAAGGGAGAAUCAAGGCAUACAAGGUAAAUUGAUAAUACCUUAGAACAUGUUGGCUUAUAGCUGUAGGUCAAUAUCUUUCUGCACUCGAUAUAUCAAUAGCCACAUCCCAAAAAGAACCACGGAUUCAUGAACAUGAACGAAAGCACACAUGUAUAUAGUAAAACUAUUCUCCUAUCUAGCACAUUCAUUUAGAGAGUGAAAUGAGAGAAAAAUCAAACAACCCUUGCCUACCUUACAAGCGAGUGAAACUAUCAAAACACGAACAUAACAUGCUAUCCUCAAAGACAGCUCAAUGAAAUUGGAAAAUAUUCCAUCCAAAAGCUACAUUAUGAUUUAACUUAAGGUCAUGGAACAGACAUCAGUCAAACAAUAAAGAAAAAUUAAUUAAAGAGAUAGGGCAAAGUUACCUGAUCGAUCACCAGCGUGAACAUCUGAAAAAACAACCAUAACAAGGCCUGCAACACAAACAGCUACUCCAGCUAUUUUCUUGAAUCUGUACUUUGUGCUCAAGAAAAACCAUGUAAGAACCAUAACAGAAGGGAUUGACCAACAGUCCAGCAGCAUGACACUUGUGAUCGAUGUGUAUUGAUAGGCCUUCACCAC